This is a long non-coding RNA of Clupea harengus (Atlantic herring), 346 nucleotides long. RefSeq lists it as uncharacterized. The transcript is spliced from 3 exons. Lineage: Eukaryota; Metazoa; Chordata; Actinopteri; Clupeiformes; Clupeidae. The record is from RefSeq and is a predicted model, not a curated record.
UAGGCGUAGUUUACUUUUCAUUUGCAUCAAGGGGAUGUUCCGCAUCAUUGUGGUUCUAUUCUCUCAUUAUACUCUGCACUCAAGCCUGUUUCACAUCCUCCUUUUUAGACUGCACGACUUUGAAGAGACGCGUUCAUCAUUUUACGCAAGUAACUCGACCUUCAUUGCCCUUCACAAGGCUCUUUAUUUUUAGGAAGAAAUUUCCAAAAUAAAAGCAUCCAAAAAAUGUGGACAAAGAUUUUAAUUUUUUUUGCCUUGUAUGCUGUCUGUGUGAACAGUGAAACUACCUACAAACUCUCUGGAAUUUCCUUUAAGAUGAAAUGUAAUGCCCCAAGCAACACUGCCG